AAAUUGAAGAGUUUGAUCAUGGCUCAGAUUGAACGCUGGCGGCAGGCCUAACACAUGCAAGUCGAGCGGAAACGAGUUAUCUGAACCUUCGGGGAACGAUAACGGCGUCGAGCGGCGGACGGGUGAGUAAUGCCUAGGAAAUUGCCCUGAUGUGGGGGAUAACCAUUGGAAACGAUGGCUAAUACCGCAUAAUGCCUACGGGCCAAAGAGGGGGACCUUCGGGCCUCUCGCGUCAGGAUAUGCCUAGGUGGGAUUAGCUAGUUGGUGAGGUAAGGGCUCACCAAGGCGACGAUCCCUAGCUGGUCUGAGAGGAUGAUCAGCCACACUGGAACUGAGACACGGUCCAGACUCCUACGGGAGGCAGCAGUGGGGAAUAUUGCACAAUGGGCGCAAGCCUGAUGCAGCCAUGCCGCGUGUGUGAAGAAGGCCUUCGGGUUGUAAAGCACUUUCAGUCGUGAGGAAGGUAGUGUAGUUAAUAGCUGCAUUAUUUGACGUUAGCGACAGAAGAAGCACCGGCUAACUCCGUGCCAGCAGCCGCGGUAAUACGGAGGGUGCGAGCGUUAAUCGGAAUUACUGGGCGUAAAGCGCAUGCAGGUGGUUUGUUAAGUCAGAUGUGAAAGCCCGGGGCUCAACCUCGGAAUAGCAUUUGAAACUGGCAGACUAGAGUACUGUAGAGGGGGGUAGAAUUUCAGGUGUAGCGGUGAAAUGCGUAGAGAUCUGAAGGAAUACCGGUGGCGAAGGCGGCCCCCUGGACAGAUACUGACACUCAGAUGCGAAAGCGUGGGGAGCAAACAGGAUUAGAUACCCUGGUAGUCCACGCCGUAAACGAUGUCUACUUGGAGGUUGUGGCCUUGAGCCGUGGCUUUCGGAGCUAACGCGUUAAGUAGACCGCCUGGGGAGUACGGUCGCAAGAUUAAAACUCAAAUGAAUUGACGGGGGCCCGCACAAGCGGUGGAGCAUGUGGUUUAAUUCGAUGCAACGCGAAGAACCUUACCUACUCUUGACAUCCAGAGAACUUUCCAGAGAUGGAUUGGUGCCUUCGGGAACUCUGAGACAGGUGCUGCAUGGCUGUCGUCAGCUCGUGUUGUGAAAUGUUGGGUUAAGUCCCGCAACGAGCGCAACCCUUAUCCUUGUUUGCCAGCGAGUAAUGUCGGGAACUCCAGGGAGACUGCCGGUGAUAAACCGGAGGAAGGUGGGGACGACGUCAAGUCAUCAUGGCCCUUACGAGUAGGGCUACACACGUGCUACAAUGGCGCAUACAGAGGGCAGCCAACUUGCGAAAGUGAGCGAAUCCCAAAAAGUGCGUCGUAGUCCGGAUUGGAGUCUGCAACUCGACUCCAUGAAGUCGGAAUCGCUAGUAAUCGUGGAUCAGAAUGCCACGGUGAAUACGUUCCCGGGCCUUGUACACACCGCCCGUCACACCAUGGGAGUGGGCUGCAAAAGAAGUAGGUAGUUUAACCUUCGGGGGGACGCUUACCACUUUGUGGUUCAUGACUGGGGUGAAGUCGUAACAAGGUAGCGCUAGGGGAACCUGGCGCUGGAUCACCUCCUUAUACGAUGAU
RNAcentral lists this ribosomal RNA (1562 nucleotides) under Vibrio alginolyticus. RNAcentral's name for it is "bacterial SSU rRNA". It matches the Rfam family "Bacterial small subunit ribosomal RNA". The record is from RNAcentral. Lineage: Bacteria; Pseudomonadati; Pseudomonadota; Gammaproteobacteria; Vibrionales; Vibrionaceae.